CGCUCGUAGUCGGGUUUCGGGUCGGGCCGAGCGGUCUGCCGAUGGGUAUGCACUGUUUGGCGCGGCCUUCUUUCCGGAGACCGCGGCUACUCUUAACUGAGCGGGCGUGGGAGACGGAUCGUUUACUUUGAAAAAAUCAGAGUGUUUCAAGCAGGCAGCUCGCUCUUGCAUGGUACAGCAUGGGAUGAUUGAAUAGGACUCCGGUGCUAUUUUGUUGGUUUCGAACACCAGGAGUAAUGAUUAACAGGGACAGUCAGGGGCACUCGUAUUCCGUCGAGAGAGGUGAAAUUCUCAGACCAAUGGAAGACGAACCACUGCGAAAGCAUUUGCCAGGGAUGUUUUCACUGAUCAAGAACGAAAGUUAGGGGAUCGAAGACGAUCAGAUACCGUCGUAGUCUUAACCAUAAACCAUGCCGACUAGGGAUUGGAGGGUGUUCGUUUCGACCUCUUCAGCACCUUACGGGAAACUAAAGUCUUUGGGUUCCGGG
The sequence is a ribosomal RNA, 488 nucleotides long. It matches the Rfam family "Eukaryotic small subunit ribosomal RNA", at positions 625 to 1118 of the family's 1831-position model.